This is a long non-coding RNA of Lycium ferocissimum, 1637 nucleotides long. RefSeq lists it as uncharacterized. The record is from RefSeq and is a predicted model, not a curated record. The transcript has 2 exons. Lineage: Eukaryota; Viridiplantae; Streptophyta; Magnoliopsida; Solanales; Solanaceae.
ACUUUCAUCUCUAGCUCAUGUUUGCUUUCUCUAUUUUACAUUUCAACUUAUAUGUGACCUUACAAUUCAAGAAGUGCCGGUCUAUUAUGAGUGUAUACAUUAAUGUUCGUUAAAAAAAAUUACAUAUAUAAUUGUGAACCUUUUUCAAAAAGUGGUGUUGUUUUGCCUGCUCAUGGACUCCGCAUCAGUCUGAAAGGUUGCCCGAUCUAUGCUUAUUUUUAACUCCCGAAGUAUUUUGAUGACUACCAUACCCUUCCUCUUCUAUGGGUGUUUUGGUAUCCACCGUAGUGUUUACUCGAUCGCUUGAACCUCACUAUUCACUUUUAAGGCUAUUAUAUUCCAUCCUAAGGUGCUGCUAAAUGAAUGGAUCUUAUCAAUCACCAUGAAUGGUAAAUCAAAGAUCGAACUGCUGAAUAAAAAAGCAGGAGAGUGUCUCUGCCACGGUGUGAAACAACAUGGUAGUUAAAAAUCUUAACCACAGAAUUGUAAGUUUUGAGGUUUAAACUUUGAAGAGGGUGUCUUGUGGUAAGUUCAAGUUCAAUAUUUGCAUACUUUGUCAAAUCUCCAUUGCUUUGCGUGUUGUUAAAUACUCCAAUAGAUAUAAGAAUUAGAAGUUUCUUUUGCCUUCCAGUAUACUUAGCAAGUCACAGAUUGAAAAAUAACCUUCUUAUAGAGUAUUAACAUGAUAAACACAGCGUAAAUUUCUCAAAUGGACCCUCAACUUAGCGAAAUUCAUCUGCAAUAAUUUUUGUUUUUUUAUAUAAUUUAAUAUCAACAAAAGCACUUAACUUUAUAGUACCUUGUUUUCUACGGAGUAACUCUAACUGCAAAAGAUAUUUUUUUCACCGGAAAGCUUACUUGAUCAGGACCACGAAGUUAAUUUUUUUUUUCAGUAAACACAGAUUUUUGAGUGUUUUGAAGAAAAGCCUAAUUAGUUCUGAUAAGAGGUAGCUUAAGUUCACGCUUGUAGAUAUGAUAACUGUUAAGCUUUGGAUCCAACAGAGAAACCUUGUUUUCCACGGAAUAACUCUUACUGGAAAAGAUAUUUUUUUCACCGGAAAGCUAACUUUGCAGGGAACCACGAAGACUAACACAGAGUUUUGAGUGUUUUGAAGAUAAGCCUAAUUAAUUCUCAUUAGAAGUUGUUUAGUGUUUUGAAGAUAAACCUAAUUGAUUCUCAUAUGAAGCACUUUACGUUCACACUUGUAGAUGUGAUAACUGUGAAGUUUUUCUCUGUGGAGCCAACACAUCAAGCGGACAAAUUUUCAUUAAAAGUUCAUAAAUUCUACCUCCAUGUACAGGACCACAAUAGACAUAUUUUGUCCAAAAUAUCUUGCUGUACUAACAAAAGAUUGGUAGAAUUAAAUGCGACUAAAAAAGAACUCACAGUACCAUCUUCAACCGUAGAGUAAACAUGAUCAUAAACACUAUAAGUGGUAUUUUUAGUUGGGCACACUCAUUAAGAAAACUGUUCCUUACUAGAAAGUGAGAUGUAUUUUUAUUAACUUAUCCUUAGUAAAUACUAUCUUAUUUUUUUUUAAUAGCUCUUUAUUGUUUCUCGGUUAUUUAAAACUCUCUUUAUUUAAAUAAGAGUAAAAUUGGAAGAACAACAUUAAUGCCUUAUUGAUUAUGUGAAA